This 252-nucleotide ribosomal RNA is filed under the name uncultured bacterium. Its description in RNAcentral is "partial 16S ribosomal RNA". It matches the Rfam family "Bacterial small subunit ribosomal RNA", at positions 524 to 776 of the family's 1533-position model. The record is from RNAcentral.
UACGUAGGUCCCGAGCGUUGUCCGGAUUUAUUGUGCGUAAAGCGAGCGCAGGUGGUUUAUUAAGUCUGGUGUAAAAGGCAGUGGCUCAACCAUUGUAUGCAUUGGAAACUGGUAGACUUGAGUGCAGGAGAGGAGAGUGGAAUUCCAUGUGUAGCGGUGAAAUGCGUAGAUAUAUGGAGGAACACCGGUGGCGAGAGCGGCUCUCUGGCCUGUAACUGACACUGAGGCUCGAAAGCGUGGGGAGCAAACAGG